CGAACGCUGGCGGCGCGUCUCAUACAUGCAAGUCGAACGCGAAAGUCCCCUUCGGGGGGCGAGUAGAGUGGCGUAAGGGUGAGUAAUGCGUCGGUAACCUACCCCGGGCACCGGGACAACAUUGCUAACGCGAUGCUAAUACCGGAUGACACUCGAGCCGUGCAUAUUGCUUGAGUCAAAGGUUUAUUCCGGCCCGGGAGGGGCUGACGUGCUAUCAGCUUGUUGGUGGGGUAACGGCUCACCAAGGCGACGACGGCUAGGGGGCCUGAGAGGGUGGUCCCCCACACUGGGACUGAGACACUGCCCAGAGCCCUACGGGGUGCUGCAGUCGAGAAUCUUCCGCAAUGGGCGAAAGCCUGACGGAGCGACGCCGCGUGGAGGAAGAAGGCCUUCGGGUUGUAAACUCCUUUUAGGGUUCAGGAACCACCGCCUUCGGGCGGUCUGACCAGACCCGGAAUAAGGUCCGGCUAAAUACGUG
This 478-nucleotide ribosomal RNA is filed under the name uncultured Ammonifex sp. RNAcentral's name for it is "bacterial SSU rRNA". It matches the Rfam family "Bacterial small subunit ribosomal RNA", at positions 30 to 507 of the family's 1533-position model. The record is from RNAcentral. Lineage: Bacteria; Bacillati; Bacillota; Clostridia; Thermoanaerobacterales; Thermoanaerobacteraceae.